AUUCCAAUCGAACUCGGAGAUAGCUGGUUCUCCCCGAAAUAGCUUUAGGGCUAGCCUCAUGUUAGAUAUCCGGAGGUAAAGCACUGAAUGGCCUAGCGUCCGAGAGGAUAGCGAAGCCUAUCAAACUAAGAAUGCCGGAAUAUUGAUGCAUGGGAGUCAGACAGUGUGAGAUAAAUCUCAUUGUCAAAAGGGAAACAGCCCAGAUCUACAGCUAAGGUCCCAAAUUGUAUCUAAGUGGAAAACGAUGUGGAAAUACGCAGACAACCAGGAUGUUGGCUCAGAAGCAGCCACUCAUUUAAAGAGUGCGUAAUAGCUCACUGGUCGAGCGUCUCUGCGCGGAAAAUUUAACGGGGCUAAGAUACAAACCGAAGCUUAGGCUGCACUUUUAGUGCGGGGUAGGGGAGCGUUGUGUAAGCGGAGAAACAGUAGCGUAAGCGGCUGUGGAGUUUACAGAAGUGAGAAUGCCGGAAUGAGUAGCGCGAAUGAUGUGAGAAUCAUCAUGGCCGGAAACCUCAGGUUUUUGGAGGAAGGUUCGUCCGCUCCAAGUUAGGCGGGAGCUAAGGUGAGGCCGAAAGGCGUAGCCGAUGCACAGACGGUAGAGAUUCCGUCCCCACCGAAAGAUUUAAGCGCAGGGACACUUUUAGAAGGUCGGAGCCAGGUGUUGGUUCUGGUAGAGAUCGAGGGAAAUUUAGUACCGAAGUCCGGCUGGAUAAGAGGCGAGAAAAGCUGCGUGUAUAUCUAAGGUGCCCGUACCGCAAACCGACACAGGUAGGUAGGAAGAAGAUUCUAAGGCCAACGGGAGAAGGGUUGUUAAGGAACUCGGCAAGUUGACCCCGUAACUUCGGAAUAAGGGGUGCUCAUGAAAGUGAGCCGCAGAGAAUAGGCCCAGGCAACUGUUUACCAAAAACACAGGUUUGUGCUAAAUCGAAAGAUGACGUAUACGAGCUGACGCCUGCCCGGUGCUGGAAGGUUAAAAGGAGAUGUGCAAGCAUUGAAUUGAAGCCCCAGUGAACGGCGGCCGUAACUAUAACGGUCCUAAGGUAGCGAAAUUCCUUGUCAGGUAAGUUCUGACCCGCAUGAAAGGCGUAAUGAUUUGGGCACUGUCUCAACAGCCCGCCCGGCGAAAUUGUAGUACCGGUGAAGAUGCCGGUUACCCGCGACAAGACGGAAAGACCCCAUGGAGCUUUACUGUAGCCUGAUAUUGGGUUUCGGUGUUGCAUGCACAGGAUAGAUGGGACACUAGGAAGCGGAUGCUUUGGCGUUCGUGGAGUGGACGUUGGGAUACCAUCCUUGCGACAUUGGAAUUCUAACCUGCGCCUCUGAAUCGAGGCGGGGGACAUUGUCAGGUGGGCAGUUUGACUGGGGCGGUCGCCUCCUAAAAAGUAGCGGAGGCGUUCAAAGGUUCGUUCGAUCUGGACGGAAACCAGAUGAUUGAGUGCAAACGCAUAAACGAGCCUGACUGCGAGACUGACGGGUCGAGCAGAGACGAAAGUCGGAGUUAGUGAUCCGGUGGUAUGUGAGUGGAAAUGCCAUCGCUCAACGGAUAAAA
This 1549-nucleotide ribosomal RNA is filed under the name human gut metagenome. RNAcentral describes it as "bacterial LSU rRNA". It matches the Rfam family "Bacterial large subunit ribosomal RNA", at positions 826 to 2461 of the family's 2925-position model. The record is from RNAcentral.